This 253-nucleotide ribosomal RNA is filed under the name uncultured bacterium. Its description in RNAcentral is "partial 16S ribosomal RNA". It matches the Rfam family "Bacterial small subunit ribosomal RNA", at positions 524 to 776 of the family's 1533-position model. The record is from RNAcentral.
UACGAAGGGGGCUAGCGUUGCUCGGAAUUACUGGGCGUAAAGGGCGCGUAGGCGGCACUGUUAGUCAGGCGUGAAAUUCCUGGGCUCAACCUGGGGGCUGCGUUUGAUACGUAUUGUCUGGAGUUCGGAAGAGGGUCGUGGAAUUCCCAGUGUAGAGGUGAAAUUCGUAGAUAUUGGGAAGAACACCGGUGGCGAAGGCGGCGACCUGGUCCGAUACUGACGCUGAGGCGCGAAAGCGUGGGGAGCAAACAGG